UACAGAGGGUGCGAGCGUUGUCCGGAAUUAUUGGGCGUAAAGCGCGCGCAGGCGGCUUCUUAAGUCUGAUGUGAAAGCCCACGGCUCAACCGUGGAGGGUCAUUGGAAACUGGGAAGCUUGAGUGCAGAAGAGGAGAGUGGAAUUCCACGUGUAGCGGUGAAAUGCGUAGAUAUGUGGAGGAACACCAGUGGCGAAAGCGGCUCUCUGGUCUGUAACUGACGCUGAGGCGCGAAAGCGUGGGGAGCAAACAGG
RNAcentral lists this ribosomal RNA (253 nucleotides) under uncultured bacterium. Its description in RNAcentral is "partial 16S ribosomal RNA". It matches the Rfam family "Bacterial small subunit ribosomal RNA", at positions 524 to 776 of the family's 1533-position model. The record is from RNAcentral.